Molecule: ribosomal RNA, 492 nt
Filed under: uncultured bacterium
Lineage: Bacteria
Description: partial 16S ribosomal RNA
Rfam family: Bacterial small subunit ribosomal RNA
Source: RNAcentral
AGUGAACGCUGGCGGUAGGCCUAACACAUGCAAGUCGAACGGCAGCACAGUAAGAGCUUGCUCUUACGGGUGGCGAGUGGCGGACGGGUGAGGAAUACAUCGGAAUCUACUUUUUCGUGGGGGAUAACGUAGGGAAACUUACGCUAAUACCGCAUACGACCUACGGGUGAAAGCAGGGGAUCUUCGGACCUUGCGCGAUUGAAUGAGCCGAUGUCGGAUUAGCUAGUUGGCGGGGUAAAGGCCCACCAAGGCGACGAUCCGUAGCUGGUCUGAGAGGAUGAUCAGCCACACUGGAACUGAGACACGGUCCAGACUCCUACGGGAGGCAGCAGUGGGGAAUAUUGGACAAUGGGCGCAAGCCUGAUCCAGCCAUACCGCGUGGGUGAAGAAGGCCUUCGGGUUGUAAAGCCCUUUUGUUGGGAAAGAAAAGCAGCAGGUUAAUACCUCGCUGUUCUGACGGUACCCAAAGAAUAAGCACCGACUAACUUCGUG